UCUCCCGUGAGGGAGCUGUCUCGCCUGACACUUGUAACAGGCAACGGGGGUUGCGUUCGUUUCCCCACUUAAGGGAACAACUCAAGCCACGAACUGACGACGGCCAUGCAUCACCUGCCAUACACCCUCGAAGGCUUCCUCCCUUUCAAGAGGCGUGCAGUAUGGUUUCUAAUCCUGGUAAGGUUUUUCGUUUAGCGACGAAUUAAGCCACAUGAUCCACCGCUUGUGCGAGCCCCCGUCUAUUCCUUUGAGUUUUAAGCUUGCGCUCGUACUACCCAGGCGGUCAACUUAACGCGUUAGCUUCGCCUCGGGGAGGGUCGAUACUCCCCAAAGCCAGUUGACAACGUUUAGGGCGUGGACUAC
RNAcentral lists this unclassified non-coding RNA (363 nucleotides) under uncultured bacterium. Its description in RNAcentral is "contains 16S-23S intergenic spacer region". The record is from RNAcentral.